This 127-nucleotide microRNA precursor is filed under the name Myotis lucifugus (little brown bat). Its description in RNAcentral is "mir-9193 microRNA precursor family". It matches the Rfam family "mir-9193 microRNA precursor family". The record is from Rfam by way of RNAcentral. Lineage: Eukaryota; Metazoa; Chordata; Mammalia; Chiroptera; Vespertilionidae.
CAUGCACUGGUGGGGUCCCUCGGCCUGGCCUGUGCCCUCUCACAAUCCAGGACCUCUCGGGGGAUGUCAGAGAGCUGGUUUCAGCCCAAUCCCCACAGGCCAGGCCAAGGGACCCCACCGGUGCAUG